RNAcentral lists this ribosomal RNA (498 nucleotides) under uncultured bacterium. RNAcentral's name for it is "partial 16S ribosomal RNA". It matches the Rfam family "Bacterial small subunit ribosomal RNA", at positions 899 to 1397 of the family's 1533-position model. The record is from RNAcentral.
ACUCAAAUGAAUUGACGGGGGCCCGCACAAGCGGCGGAGCAUGUGGAUUAAUUCGAUGCAACGCGAAGAACCUUACCUGGGCUUGACAUGCACUGGAAACCAGUAGAGAUAUUGGCCCCCUUGUGGCCGGUGUACAGGUGGUGCAUGGCUGUCGUCAGCUCGUGUCGUGAGAUGUUGGGUUAAGUCCCGCAACGAGCGCAACCCUCGUUCCAUGUUGCCAGCGCGUAAUGGCGGGGACUCAUGGGAGACUGCCGGGGUCAACUCGGAGGAAGGUGGGGAUGACGUCAAGUCAUCAUGCCCCUUAUGUCCAGGGCUUCACACAUGCUACAAUGGCCGGUACAAAGGGCUGCUAAGCCGUGAGGUGGAGCGAAUCCCAUAAAGCCGGUCUCAGUUCGGAUCGGGGUCUGCAACUCGACCCCGUGAAGUCGGAGUCGCUAGUAAUCGCAGAUCAGCAACGCUGCGGUGAAUACGUUCCCGGGCCUUGUACACACCGCCCGU